Molecule: ribosomal RNA, 254 nt
Filed under: uncultured bacterium
Lineage: Bacteria
Description: partial 16S ribosomal RNA
Rfam family: Bacterial small subunit ribosomal RNA
Source: RNAcentral
UACGAAGGGGGCUAGCGUUGUUCGGAAUUACUGGGCGUAAAGCGCGCGCAGGCGGUCCUUCAAGUCAGAGGUGAAAGCCCAGAGCUCAACUCUGGAAUGGCCUUUGAGACUAGAGGACUUGGGUACGGGAGAGGUGAGUGGAAUUCCGAGUGUAGAGGUGAAAUUCGUAGAUAUUCGGAAGAACACCAGUGGCGAAGGCGGCUCACUGGCCCGUUACCGACGCUCAGGCGCGACAGCGUGGGGAGCAAACAGGG